GGUGGUAGCACUGGAGCUUAUGGUAGCGGCACUUGGAAUUAUGGUAGUGGUGGUGGUAAUGUUGCUGGUGGAAACACUGAUGAAAGUGGUGCUGGAAAUUAUACUGUUGCUGGUGGCAGUGAUAGUUUUGAAAGCAGCAAUAUUGGCAGUGGGUAUGAUGGAAAUGCUGGGUUGGGACUCGGUGGUGACAGUGAUCAAUUGGGUGGCCAUGAAAGCAGCAGCUUGGAUGAUGCAGCUGGAGGAUUUGAUCAAGAUGAACCAUUGGAAGGAAGUUUCAGGGAUGAUGACGAUGCUGAUGACUUUGCCAAAAGGGCGUGACAACCGCCUUCUCUUUUGGAAGCAGUAGAACUUGCUUCCACUCCAUAUUUAAAAUAGACGCCAUUUUUGUCAAGUUUUUCUUUUCCCUCACUCUUGUGUCCCUGGACAGUUUGCAUCAUUUGUCAAUUUGUCGCUGUGAAGUAAAACUUUGAAGUGUUGUUAUUUGCAAGCAACAAAGUCUUUCACUAGAAAUAAUUCUAGUUGCAAUUAAUGUUUUUCCUGUUUUCUCCCUGACCAAAAAAAAAACUUGACAAAAAUGGCGUCUAUUUU
Molecule: unclassified non-coding RNA, 588 nt
Filed under: Hevea brasiliensis (rubber tree)
Lineage: Eukaryota; Viridiplantae; Streptophyta; Magnoliopsida; Malpighiales; Euphorbiaceae
Source: RNAcentral